This 253-nucleotide ribosomal RNA is filed under the name uncultured bacterium. RNAcentral describes it as "partial 16S ribosomal RNA". It matches the Rfam family "Bacterial small subunit ribosomal RNA", at positions 524 to 776 of the family's 1533-position model. The record is from RNAcentral.
UACGUAGGGUGCAAGCGUUAAUCGGAAUACUGGGCGUAAAGCGUGCGCAGGCGGCUUUGCAAGACAGAUGUGAAAUCCCCCGGGCUCAACCUGGGAACUGCAUUUGUGACUGCAAGGCUAGAGUACGGUAGAGGGGGAUGGAAUUCCGCGUGUAGCAGUGAAAUGCGUAGAUAUGCGGAGGAACACCGAUGGCGAAGGCAAUCCCCUGGACCUGUACUGACGCUCAUGCACGAAAGCGUGGGGAGCAAACAGG